CAAGCUCACACCAUUCUACAAGUCUGACCCAGUACCUGAAUCCAUGAGUCGAGUAGAAUUAUUCGAUAUCUACAUUGUAUAUGAAACAAAACAAUGCUAAUUAUAAAACGUGUAGAAGUUAUUUUAACAUUUUCUUCACUUAAAUGUGCAAUUGCACUUGUUUAUGGUGCACGGAAAGGGUAGAUCCAUUAUCUGUCUGCUGCCAUCUAGUAUAUGCUAAAUGUAUUU
This 228-nucleotide long non-coding RNA is filed under the name Hordeum vulgare. RNAcentral's name for it is "long non-coding RNA (HVUL_LNC015810)". The record is from RNAcentral. Lineage: Eukaryota; Viridiplantae; Streptophyta; Magnoliopsida; Poales; Poaceae.